Cotesia glomerata is the source of this 694-nucleotide long non-coding RNA. RefSeq lists it as uncharacterized. The record is from RefSeq and is a predicted model, not a curated record. The transcript is spliced from 3 exons. NCBI's taxonomy places the organism in Eukaryota, Metazoa, Arthropoda, Insecta, Hymenoptera, Braconidae.
AUUAGAUGCUUUUAUAAAUUUUUCAAGUAUUUAUGUACUUUUCGGCGGUUGAUUAAUCGCGUCUGCGAAAAGGAGGAAAAACAAGUUACAGUACAAACAGCAGAUUGUUUAAAGGGUCAUCGAACUGGACCUGGAGUUGAACCAAUAGCACGUACCGCGGACUCCAAGGACUGAAAGACGUGAAUGGAGACCACUUCAGAGCUGAACUCAAGCGGACAGGAUAUUUCCGUGAGAAUAAACACUGGCCUCAUUAUCCAAUCCAACUACUACUAACUAUAUACAGUGUUUACUGUUUAUAACUAAACAAACUACAUCAGAUCGAUAUCGAUAUCCAGUUAAUGAGUCAUCAAAUUCUUCUACCCUGCUCUAUUGGCCGGUUGUAAAAAAUAAAUCAUCAAAUCAUAAUUAAGUACUUAUAUUGAUGAUCAUAAAAUUAACGCAAUUACAAAUACAACCGGUACGCGUAUGCUAAGUAAUGAUAGUUUCCAGAUGACAGGCCUCGAUGAUUAUUAUUUAUUGUUAAUAUCUCCGAGAUUUAUAUACAUAAACUUUCACGACGUAACCACUAAAGAAUUUUCAGUCGCAAGGUCGAGAAAGGAUUGGAACGGAAUUCCCAUUUGAUUUCUAUCUAAUUUUAAACUGCUUUCUUUCCUUGAUUGUUUUUUUUUUCCAACCUAAUCCUGACAUAAGCAUU